Molecule: ribosomal RNA, 164 nt
Filed under: Neobouteloua lophostachya
Lineage: Eukaryota; Viridiplantae; Streptophyta; Magnoliopsida; Poales; Poaceae
Description: 5.8S ribosomal RNA
Rfam family: 5.8S ribosomal RNA
About the family: 5.8S ribosomal RNA (5.8S rRNA) is a component of the large subunit of the eukaryotic ribosome. It is transcribed by RNA polymerase I as part of the 45S precursor that also contains 18S and 28S rRNA. Functionally, it is thought that 5.8S rRNA may be involved in ribosome translocation.
Source: RNAcentral
CACAUGACUCUCGGCAACGGAUAUCUCGGCUCUCGCAUCGAUGAAGAACGUAGCAAAAUGCGAUACCUGGUGUGAAUUGCAGAAUCCCGUGAACCAUCGAGUUUUUGAACGCAAGUUGCGCCCGAGGCCUUUCGGCCGAGGGCACGUCUGCCUGGGCGUCACGC